Molecule: long non-coding RNA, 2092 nt
Organism: Ictalurus punctatus (channel catfish)
Lineage: Eukaryota; Metazoa; Chordata; Actinopteri; Siluriformes; Ictaluridae
Exons: 2
Source: RefSeq, a predicted model, not a curated record
UAGCGCCAUACAGACUUCAUAUGAAUCCAUAAUGAACUUUUUCACACUAUCUGUUGUUACCCAGAUGAGGAUGGGCUCCUUCUGAGUCGGGUUCCUCUCAAGGUUUCUUCCUCUUAAAACAUCUUAGGGAGUUUUUCUUUGCCACCGUCGCCACUCAGUGGCUUGCUCAGUUGGGAUAAAUUCGCACCUUUAAUAUCUGUAUACCAUGUUGAUAUUUCUGUAAAGCUGCUUUGAGACAAUGUCUAUUGUAAAAAGCGCUACACAAAUAAAUUGAAAUAAAAAGUCAAAAACUGCUAGAAAAAAACUCAGAACAUUUGCUUAGCCUAAUACUUUUUUUUCCAUCUACACAUAAUUAUUAUUGUAGCAGCUGCUUUUGCAAUAAAAAGGCUUAAAGUCGAGGCUCCCUGUAUCUAUGGAGAAAGAGGAGCAGUGCACCAUUGACAUCAUGCACAGAGGUAGCAUGAAGGUGUGACUGAGUUUUUAGAAAUUAUUUCCUAAUCUUAUGCUAAUAUGAAUACUACAAUAAUAAUAAUAAUAAUAAUAAUAAUAAGAAGAAGAAGAAGAAGAAGAAGAAGAAGAAGAAGAAGAAGAAGAAGAAGAAGAAAGGGUGAUUAAUAAAAUAAAAUAAAUAAAAUAGCAGCGCUGCGUGGUGUUCUGGAUGGAUCUUGACUGCCAUCGUGUGGUCAUGUUUAGGAAGUGCACCUUCCCCCAAACGUUGUUUAAAGCCGCAGAUUAUAAAUCUAUAUUCCUGCUGAGUGUGUGUUUAUGACCUGGAUGUUGAGUUGCUUUUACACUUUCUACAUAAGCAGCAUUUCUGGCCUCUGUGAGCCCCAGGUGAUGAUCUUUUAUUUUCAGAUUCUUACUGAGGUGCUGUUUUCCACAUGCAGUGCUUGGCUGUGUUGGAGGCCACCAAGAAAGACUUCCUGGCUGUCAUGUGGAAGCUAAGUGGGCUGGGGUCAAAAGGGUUUCUGGCCAUGGUGCUUGUGCUGCAGUGAUCUUGUUCUCAAUCACACUCCAACACAGGUAGCCAUCUUCACCCUCUCCCAAGAGGUGAUGGUACGACUCUGAAUAAACACUCGAUUAUUAUAAAUAAAGUGUGACUGUGUCUUGUAGUCCACCCACCAACCUUUUUCUGUUCAGUGGUUUGACUUGUGCUACACAGAGGUGAGUCCAGUUAUGCUGCAAGAAGUGUAAGUAUGAUGGGGUUGACGAGUAGGAGGAGAGGUUCUUCCUGUGCAAGGUGCUGCUCUCUCUUCUUUCAACAUAGCUCCUGGUCUCAGAACAGGUUUAGUUCAUCGUUGCUGGUGUUGUGUAGAGGAUGUUAUAUUGUGAAAGUCACAACUAUCCCCGCUCAAGGUCUUGUGAAAUAUUUGACCUUAUUUGUGACUAUAUUCACCAUGAUACUUUCAGCGGUUACUACAUUAGUGUCCUUAAUUUUUUACUAUUUAAAGAUUGUUUAAAAGUUUAUUACAGGCUCAAUGAAUGUUCUUCUCCUUCACUAGAAGAUAAAGGCCCGGUUUCGCAGACAGGGUUUACAUUAAGCCAGGAUUAGGCCUUCGAUCAAUUAGGACAUUUCAGUAGCUUUUAUAAACGUGUCUUUAGAAAAAAAUAUUUCUGGUGCACAUCCUGAGAUAAAACAAUGGCACUGACGUGUUUUAAGAUCCGUCCGUGCAAGUAGCUUUCAGUUAAAACAGCUCAAACAUACAUUUUAGUCUGGGACUAGGCUUAGGUCUUGUCUGUGAAACCAGGGGGAAAAAGAAGGGUGUGCUUUAUUAUGCUCUCUGCAGAAUAUGACAGAAGAAAUGUGACUCACACCUGUAACUAUAAAAAGCAGGUAGAACUGCAGUUAGCAUGAAACCUCAAAUGUGUAGCUGGGCUGGAAAUUUAUUUUUGUAUGCAUGUAUAAUAUUUUUUCUCUUACAGAUGGACCAGCAAACAGAUUUAAAGGCUGUUGUGAAUGAUGGGUUACAGAAAUGUCUUCCUGUGUUUAUUAUUAUUUGAAGUUAUAUAUUCUGAUUUGUAAGCAAGAUUAUGAAGUCUCCUUUUGCUAAUCAUUUUAGAGCAUUAUUAAAAAGUCCAUGUACACAAUGUU